CCUACCAUGAGGUAGCUUCCGUACAUAUGUUUUUUCUCUCUGCUGAUGUCUAUCCUAGGAAAGAUCUUGUCAAGAGAGGACUUACUGAGCCCAGUCAGGCACUGCCUGAAGUGACUUUGACUUGCAUCUAUCCGAGUCCCUGGGAGGUUGGUAAUCCCUGGUGGAUGGUGGGACUAUGAAAAUGGAGCUUAUCAGGCUGCCCUGCAAGUCAUCAGACAGCGCAAACCAGUCUGCGCCCGAAGGUCUAAUAUUUUCUCCUCUGGAAACAGGAAGUAAUAUCUGCAUUUAUUUAUGAAGGAGGGAUCUGCACUACUUGAAGGUAAGUUUUGUUUUCUGCUGUUGAUUUCAUGACAGACAGCAACAUUUUAUCCAUGUCAAUAGAAAACUUAAAAUAACUUCCACAUUUAUUAGCUAUUGCCAAACUCCCUUGGUGUACAUUUUUAACAUAACUUCCAGUCCCUGGUGCUACCUCACACUUCAUGUGUUUCCAGGCUAGAAUCAAAUAACCAUUGAUUUCCUGAGCAGGCAUGAAUUUUGUCUCAGGAGUUGUUGCUCUGCCCGAGCCUCCCUUUCUUGUUCUACAUCUGUGCAAAGACAACAUCAAGUAGGUGUGGUGGGAACAUUACCUCCUGCUACCCUGUCCAGUGGCCCAUUAAAAGGUGUGGGGGAACUUGGGAAUCCAGCAGAGUUUACAGCUAUAUAUGAAAAGUUAGGGCAAGAAAGGAUUUGAGGAAUGUAUGUUAACUAGAUCCAGCUGAAGAAGUAGAAACUAGGAAUUUCAGUCGUGGCUGAUGUUAGCAGUACCCAUGAAGUACUUCAUAAGCACAGGAAUACAGCCACAAGCCAUACAGGAUUAGCACGCAGGCAAGAUGAGUCAGUGAAGAUCAGUCAGAGAUGCAGUGAAAGGAGACUGAAGUAGGGGUGAAGGAACUUGGCGGGCAGGACCAAAACUAUACUAAUAGAAAGAUGAGGGAAACUGAAAGAGGGAACCGAGUUAGUAAGACAGAAACCACCUCUCUAAGAAAAAAUGCUACACCCUUGUGAUCUUCAGGGUUAGUGGGACUACUACAGCACCUAGACUGGUCUCAGAGUCAACUUGACCUUGCUUGUAAGUAGACAGGGCUCUGGACAAACACAAGACAUUAGAGAACUGUCAGGGAGUGCCAGGAACGGGGCUAU
RNAcentral lists this long non-coding RNA (1179 nucleotides) under Anas platyrhynchos platyrhynchos (common mallard). RNAcentral describes it as "lncRNA (ENSAPLG00000018697.1)". Lineage: Eukaryota; Metazoa; Chordata; Aves; Anseriformes; Anatidae. The record is from RNAcentral.